UAAUUUUAUUAAAAUUACUAAAAUAUCCAAAAUUUUCAAUUUCAAACCCUAAUUUCACUAACCCUAACCUCUCUCAUUCAAUUCACAUACACGUGCCCCUCUCCACCCGUUUGUUUCUCAGUGAGCCACGCUAACCCUCCCUCACCACUCAUUCACUCAUAAACAGAACACACACCACACACAAAACAAAUAAACAAGCGCAUACACAGACAUAUACACGGAGAGAAGAGAAGAGAGAGUGCUGCGAGCCAGGGACGACGCGAGGAAGGAGAGGAGCCAUCGUGCUCGGCCGCUGCUAGCUCCAUCGCAUCCUACGCCGCGCCAUCGCCCCCAGACCGCGUCCGUUCCGUUCAGCCACCGCCGCUGCCGUCGUGUGGGUGAGAGAGAGAAGCUGAGAAAGACUCAGCCGCGAGAACCAGAGGCGCGUGAGAGAGGGAAGACACGAUCGACGAAGGGAAGGGAAAAGGGUUUCACCACCGCGGUGUCCGGCCACCACUGCUGCCUCCGACUGGAGCCCUAGUCACCGGAGCCCCUAUCGUCGCCGUUGCAUGUGAGAGGAGGAGAUGACAUUGCUGAUUUGGAUUCUGCCCAUGUCCCUCAUCGUCACUGGAAUCACGAACCAGAGGCGGAAGGAGGCAUUCCUCCAUCGCCCGCCAGCCACCAAGCUAUGACUAAAUUGGAGACAUUGUUUCUCUUACCUUCCGUUUUGAGUCAUUAUUGUCAUUAUUCGGCGUUGCCACCCUUGUCUAGAGCUAUUGAAUGUUUCUGCUGCGAGAAUAAUACUAGAAUCGCUGCUGCUGCCACGAAUUGGGGAUAAAGGGGAUACCUGCGUCAAAACCUGCUAUUGCGACAUUGAGGUAGGGGAUUUGUUUUACAAUAAAUGUUUUAAGUUAUGAAUGCCAAUAAAAUUAAAUGAGUAACUGCAAAUGGUUUAUGGUUGCUUUGUGUGAAUAAUUGUUGGAAUUGAGUUGAAUCAUGGUUGUAGUUGGUGAUUGGUUAAUGAUUUAAUGUUGUAAUUAAUGACGAUGUUGUGUAUUUUGAAGUUAUACUUGCUGCUAGUACUUGUUGAUGUUGAUCUUGUGUAUGGAAUGUUGCUGUGGCUGCUGGAAAUUGAUUUGAUGAAUCAGAACUUGAGAUAUGUUGUUAUAGAUGAGGUGCUGAAGAAUGGAUACUGUGAUAAUAUUGUUACGUUGCACUUAUGAUAUGAAAUUGUGAUAUAUUGAAUUAAGAGUUCUUGGGCAACUUUGGUUAGUCAAAAAAAAGUUAGAAAUGUGGUUUUAGAUGAAUCCUAGGCUUGAAUAUAGGAUUUGGUAUGUGAGGUUGUUGGAAAUACUUUGUACAGAAUUUCUGCAGAAAUCUGCAUAAUUGGCAGCAGAACAAAGACUUUUUAGGAGGGGUCCAGACUUAAUUUUUAGAUGAAAUUAUUUUUCUGUAAAACUUUAGUGUGUCUUGAAUAUUCCAUAAUAAAAUUCAUGGAGUUUGGCGAAGUGGUUUGGAAGAUACGAUUUUUUGAAAUUUAGUGGUUGCUGCAGAUUUUUCUGGUUUUCUGGUUCUGCAGUACCAACUUCCAGACGCUAUAACUUUUAAUUUAAACAGAAUUUUGAGUUGAUUUUAAAAGGAUUUUAAAGAUUUAUCAGUCUAUUUUAAGUGAGUACAAGUUUCAUGUUCAUAUCUAUUUUGUAGACUUAGAUAAGUCACUUGGAAGGUCGGUUGUUUGCUGGAAACUCUGAACUGGUUUAUGAAAACAAAGCUCCACUUCCAAUUGAUAAUUAAUUAAUCAAAUGAAAUGAUAUGAACCUGAAAUUUGUGGAUUCUAAAACUUAGGGAUGUUGACUGUAAUCUCACCAAAAUUUAGAAGUAACGAAUUAGAAUUGAAAUUAUUAUGGAAUUUAUAAAAAACAUGGCUGCUGUCUAUUUUUUGAAUUUUUGUAAAUGCAAUAGCAGAAUUUUAAAGCUUGUACAAAAUUCAAUUCUAAUCCAAAUUCAGUAAAACCUAACUUAAAUUAAAGAUUAAGAUCUCUAGAGUUACCUUACCAACAUGGUUUUGAAUUAGACAAACUUAGGAAAUGAAAAGGAAUGUAAGUUGUCCCUAAGAAAGGUUAAAGUUAAGGACAAUGAUAUUGAGAGAUAUAGUGAAGAAAGAAAAAUGAGGAAUAAGGAAUGAAAUAAAAGUUGAGACCGAGUGCUAAUGCGGAAGUGUCCGCCUAACUGAUAUCAUAUUGUAUGUUUAAAUGGGCCUUUGUGCCGAACUGCUAAUGCGAAAGUGCCUGCCUAAUGGAUAGCCUGAGAUUGCUAAUGCGGGAAUGUUUGCCUAAUUGAUAGCACUGUUCCUUACUGUGAUACACAUUGAAAUGUUAUUAUAUGAGGCCUAAUUGACACGGGUAACCGUGAUGCCAAGGUGUCUAAUUGACAUAGUAAAGGGACCAUAUUCGGGGUUCACUCCGAGUAACGUCGGGUUGCGGGUAGACAACCGACGCAUGAGCUCAUGGCCUGCGCUAGGAACAGGUAUGCAUCAUCUUGUUUGCACAUUUAUAUUUGAUUGUGUUUGCUUUAUUUUUAUUUAUUUGUGAUUGUGCGGUUGUUUUGGUGAUGUACUGGUGUGCUUUAUGGAUAUUUUACUUGUGUUGUAGUCUUGAUAAUGUAUUUAGGAAUGUUGUUUAUGGAUAAGGAAUUGUUAAUGUGACUGGGAUUUUGUUUAAGUAACGUGAUUUAAAGAAAGGAAUUUAAAACAGUUUUAAGUGAAAUUGUUUUUGUGAUAUGAACUAGCUAUUUGUAUUUACUCUGUUUUUUUUUUUUUUACGGCGUUCACGUUCCCUACUGAGAACGUGUGGCUUUGUUCUCACCCCAAAAUCUUCCACCCCUUUCAGUGACACAGGUUCCAGGACUGAGUGUGAAGCUGCGAGCGAUUAUGAGUUUCUUUUGAAUUCUUUUGUAUAAUAUUUAUCAUUAUUAGUAAUUAAGUGAUUAUUAUUACCUGUGUGUUUUUUUAUGAAUGAUUUUGAUUAAUGAGAAAUAAUAUUUUCCUGCA
Molecule: long non-coding RNA, 3028 nt
Organism: Arachis duranensis
Lineage: Eukaryota; Viridiplantae; Streptophyta; Magnoliopsida; Fabales; Fabaceae
Exons: 2
Source: RefSeq, a predicted model, not a curated record